RNAcentral lists this transfer RNA (73 nucleotides) under Schistocephalus solidus. It matches the Rfam family "tRNA". Rfam says of the family: Transfer RNA (tRNA) molecules are approximately 80 nucleotides in length. Their secondary structure includes four short double-helical elements and three loops (D, anti-codon, and T loops). Further hydrogen bonds mediate the characteristic L-shaped molecular structure. tRNAs have two regions of fundamental functional importance: the anti-codon, which is responsible for specific mRNA codon recognition, and the 3' end, to which the tRNAs corresponding amino acid is attached (by aminoacyl-tRNA synthetases). tRNAs cope with the degeneracy of the genetic code in two manners: having more than one tRNA (with a specific anti-codon) for a particular amino acid; and 'wobble' base-pairing, i.e. permitting non-standard base-pairing at the 3rd anti-codon position. The record is from Rfam by way of RNAcentral. Lineage: Eukaryota; Metazoa; Platyhelminthes; Cestoda; Diphyllobothriidea; Diphyllobothriidae.
GAGUCUCUGGCUCAAUUGUUAGAGCGUUGGACUUCUGAUCAAUGGGUCAUGAGUUCGAUCCUCAGGUGGUGCA